RNAcentral lists this ribosomal RNA (460 nucleotides) under uncultured bacterium. RNAcentral describes it as "partial 16S ribosomal RNA". It matches the Rfam family "Bacterial small subunit ribosomal RNA", at positions 338 to 795 of the family's 1533-position model. The record is from RNAcentral.
CCUACGGGAGGCAGCAGUGAGGAAUAUUGGUCAAUGGACGAGAGUCUGAACCAGCCAAGUAGCGUGAAGGAUGACUGCCCUAUGGGUUGUAAACUUCUUUUAUAUGGGAAUAAAAUGUUCCACGUGUGGGAUUUUGUAUGUACUAUAUGAAUAAGGAUCGGCUAACUCCGUGCCAGCAGCCGCGGUAAUACGGAGGAUCCGAGCGUUAUCCGGAUUUAUUGGGGUUAAAGGGAGCGUAGGUGGAUUGUUAAGUCAGUUGUGAAAGUUUGCGGCUCAACCGUAAAAUUGCAGUUGAAACUGGCAGUCUUGAGUACAGUAGAGGUGGGCGGAAUUCGGGGUGUAGCGGUGAAAUGCUUAGAUAUCACGAAGAACUCCGAUUGCGAAGGCAGCUCACUGGACUGCAACUGACACUGAGGCUCGAAAGUGUGGGGAUCAAACAGGAUUAGAUACCCUGGUAGUC